AGGCUGAAAAGCGUAGGCGAUGGACAACAGGUUGAUAUUCCUGUACCACCUCUUUACCGUUUGAGCAAUGGGGGGACGCAGGAGGAUAGGGUAAGCGCGCUGCUGGAUUAGCGCGUCCAAGCAGUUAGGCCGGUAACGAGGCAAAUCCCGUUACCACAUAGGCUGAGCUGUGACGGCGAGGGAAAUUUAGUACCGAAGUUCCUGAUUCCACACUGCCAAGAAAAGCCUCUAGCGAGGGAAAAGGUGCCCGUACCGCAAACCGACACAGGUAGGCGAGGAG
RNAcentral lists this ribosomal RNA (280 nucleotides) under Escherichia coli. RNAcentral's name for it is "partial 23S ribosomal RNA". It matches the Rfam family "Bacterial large subunit ribosomal RNA", at positions 1399 to 1674 of the family's 2925-position model. The record is from RNAcentral. Lineage: Bacteria; Pseudomonadati; Pseudomonadota; Gammaproteobacteria; Enterobacterales; Enterobacteriaceae.